GAUGAACGCUAGCGGGAGGCUUAACACAUGCAAGUCGAGCGGGAAGGGUAGCAAUACCCUGAGAGCGGCGCACGGGUGCGUAACGCGUAUGUAACCUGCCUUAUACAGGGGGAUAGCCCAUGGAAACGUGGAUUAACACCCCAUAGGACUGGAAUUUCGCAUGGGAAUUCAGUUAAAAUUACGGUGGUAUAAGAUGGGCAUGCGUCUGAUUAGGUAGUUGGUAGGGUAACGGCCUACCAAGCCGACGAUCAGUAGGGGUUCUGAGAGGAUUACCCCCCCACACUGGUACUGAGACACGGACCAGACUCCUACGGGAGGCAGCAGUGAGGAAUAUUGGUCAAUGGGCGAGAGCCUGAACCAGCCAUCCCGCGUGCAGGAUGACGGCCCUAUGGUUGUAAACUGCUUUUGUCAGGGAAUAAACCUUGUACGAGAUACAGAGCUGAAGGUACCUGAAGAAUAAGCAUCGGCUAACUCCGUGCCAGCAGCCGCGGUAA
This 494-nucleotide ribosomal RNA is filed under the name uncultured bacterium. RNAcentral's name for it is "bacterial SSU rRNA". It matches the Rfam family "Bacterial small subunit ribosomal RNA", at positions 28 to 523 of the family's 1533-position model. The record is from RNAcentral.